This is a long non-coding RNA of Oncorhynchus masou masou (cherry salmon), 2385 nucleotides long. RefSeq lists it as uncharacterized. The record is from RefSeq and is a predicted model, not a curated record. Lineage: Eukaryota; Metazoa; Chordata; Actinopteri; Salmoniformes; Salmonidae. The transcript has 3 exons.
AGUCGCAACAGGGAAGGGAAGACAUCUGUGUUAAUGGGCUGCAGGUGGAACAACUGCUGGUCGGAGUCGGCAGGAGCCACACAAUCUGACACACAAACAAACACCAAUGGCUGGUCGAGUCGACAGAGAAGUAAAAUCGGCAGAUGGUCUAAAAAAAAUGAAACAAAAUUACCGAUGCUCCACAGAAGUCCUCUGUCCUGUUGGGAAUCGGCCCACUAGUGAACAACUACAAAGCCAUCUAGUACCAAGCAGAGGCCCCCCUUCUCACCAGAACACCACCACCUUCUAAGGUUGGCUGUCAGAUUAGAUCUGACAUGAAAGAGGUGCUACAUCAUCAUGGAAGAGGUGCUACAUCAUCAUGGAAGAGGUGCUACAUCAUCAUGGAAGAGGUGCUACAUCAUCAUGGAAGAGGUGCUACAUCAUCAUGGAAGAGAUGCUACAUCAUCAUGGAAGAGGUGCUACAUCAUCAUGGAAGAGGUGCUACAUCAUCAUGGAAGAGGUGCUACAUCAUCAUGGAUGCUUUUCCAUGUUGGCAUUUCACUCUCCCUGUUAUUGCAUUUCCCAGUCAGUCUGUCAGUACUGUAGUGGAUUCACACAGCCUGCUAUAGAAUUGACUAGCUUACUGCACACACACAAUUUUUUGAAAACUCAAUAUACAUGCAUUAACCUUUUUUUAUACAGUUAUGUUACUUGGAAAAUACAGGAAAGACUCUAGACUUAAAACUUUAAAUUCCCUUUCUUUCUUGCUCUGUUUCUAUAACACUAUUUCCAUCUCAAUCACUUCUAUUUACCCUAUAACUAGCCAUGUUGAUAUUACAUCAAAAUGGUUCAGGAAAUACGGGUGUACAUUCUUUACAAGUUGAGUUGGCCCCUACAACACAUCCAGUUGAACGAAAGUAUAAAUUAAAAUCAGAGAAUACCCAUUAAUAAAUAAAAAUCCACAUUUAGAAUUAAGGACAAGGUUUGUUUAGCUAGCACUGGGUAAUUGUUGGAUGUGGCAGCAUAUAUAUUUUAAAUGGAUUAGUGUACUUGGAAUAGUUUUUUGCUACUGUCACUCUGUUCUUGCUUCUCAGUUAGAGCAUGGUGGUGGUUGGGAGUGAAGUUGAAAUGGACAUGCGAGGCAGAGCCAGCCUGUAUCAUCUGUUGAGACCAUAAGCCACCCACUCCUCCUGCUCACGCUCCCUCCCUCCUCUCUCUGUUGGAAUUUUGUGCACAUCGUCACAUACCCUGGCCGGUAUCACAGUUUAGAGAUACAAUAGGCUUUUCUUUUUGUUGCUGUUAUUGUUUGUGUAUUGUUGUAUUUUACAUGUGUGUGACUGUCCUUGUCUAUCAGUGGUUUGUUGCUUGUCAUGUUUUGUGUUUUUUUGUGGACCUUAGGAAGAGUAGCUGCUGCUUCUGCAAAAGCUAAUGCGGAUCCUAAUAAGCAAACAAAUAAAUACAAAUAGCACAGGAAAUGACCUCUCCACCUGCAUGCACAUUUAUAUUUGCCUUUGUUUAUGUAAGUGUGGGGAGGACUGAAUUUGUAUUCAGGCCAAUAUUCUAGUGUGCAAUAUAAUGAGUUAGCUUUGUGUAUCACUUCAAAUUGAAGACGCCCUCUCUCUUUUUUCUCUUCCUGCCUCUCGGCCUCUCUUCCUUGUCACACUCUCCUCUCCUCUCCUGCACUUGUCCUGCGUGAACAAUGAGGCAGCUGAUUGAGUCACAAUUUCUCCCCUCUGUCUCUCUCUCUCACUCCCUCUCCCCCACACACACAUACACAAGCCCUUCCACUCCCUCUGUUGCUUCCCUGUUUCACAACCUCUCUCUCUUCCCCCUCCAUCCUCUUCCCUUUCCCUUAAGCUUGCUAUUCACUCUGCUUUCUCUCCCUACACUUACACGUAUUUCUUUAUUUCAAAACAUUUCAUAAUCUUUCCUUCUCUCUUAGUCUUCUUAGUAAGUCUCUCCUUCCCCUCUUCCUUUGAUUCGUCCAUGUCAUCUGUCUCUCUUCCUCUCUCUGCAUAUUUCUCUGCAUCUUUUGGUCUGUGAGCAGUGCACUACUCGCUCCUCUCUUCCUCGCUCUCUUUUUCUCUCUCACUUUUUCUCCUUCUCUCUCUCUCUCUCUCUGGUCUACAGCAGUGAUUCUUUAAUCCCUUCUUACACGAUCUCUUUCUCCUUCAGCUGAUGAAAACCUAAAAGAGUAAGAACAUGGAAACCCUCCCUAUGACAAACCCUCCCAGUAAACAAACGCUGGAUAAUAACCUUCAGAAUCUCGUACAGUCCUAUAUACUAAUUGUUAUCGCACCAAUGAGGAAAUCACAACACAAUUCAUCCUUCUGUUAGCCGACUACAGGAAGAUUUUCUAUAUAAAUGUGUAUAAAUGUGAAUAAAAACACACCUUGUGUUGUAAAA